UCUGGUUGAUCCUGGCAGAGGCCACUGCUAUCGGAGUUCGAUUAAGCCAUGCGAGUCGAGAGGUGUAAGACCUCGGCAUACUGCUCAGUAACACGUGGACAACCUACCCUGAGGAGGGGGAUAACCCCGGGAAACUGGGGAUAAUACCCCAUAGACUAUGGAUGCUGGAAUGCUCUGUAGUUACAAGGCCCGCCGCCUCAGGAUGGGUCUGCGGCCGAUUAGGUUGUUGUUGGGGUAACGGCCCAACAAGCCUGUAAUCGGUACGGGUUGUGGGAGCAAGAGCCCGGAGAUGGAUUCUGAGACACGAAUCCAGGCCCUACGGGGCGCAGCAGGCGCGAAAACUUUACAAUGCGAGCAAUCGUGAUAAGGGAACUCCGAGUGCCCGUAAAAUCGGGCUGUCCGCCAGUGUAAAUAACUGGUGAAGAGAGGGCCGGGCAAGACCGGUGCCAGCCGCCGCGGUAAUACCGGCGGCUCGAGUGGUGGCCACUAUUACUGGGCUUAAAGCGUUCGUAGCUGGUCUGUUAAGUCUCUGGGGAAAUCUUCCGGCUUAACCGGAAGGCGUCUCAGGGAUACUGACAGACUAGGGACCGGAAGAGGUGAGAGGUAAUCCAGGGGUAGGAGUGAAAUCCUGUAAUCCUUGGGGGACCACCUGUGGCGAAGGCGUCUCACCAGGACGGCUCCGACAGUGAGGAACGAAAGCUGGGGGAGCAAACCGGAUUAGAUACCCGGGUAGUCCCAGCUGUAAACGAUGCGCGUUAGGUGUAUCGGUGACCACGAGUCACCGAGGUGCCGAAGAGAAAUCGUGAAACGCGCCGCCUGGGAAGUACGGUCGCAAGGCUGAAACUUAAAGGAAUUGGCGGGGGAGCACCACAACGGGUGGAGCCUGCGGUUUAAUCGGACUCAACGCCGGGAAACUCACCGGAUAAGACAGCUGAAUGAUUGCCGGGCUGAAGACUCUGCAUGACUAGCUGAGAGGAGGUGCAUGGCCGUCGUCAGUUCGUACUGUGAAGCAUCCUGUUAAGUCAGGCAACGAGCGAGACCCA
Molecule: ribosomal RNA, 1043 nt
Filed under: uncultured archaeon
Lineage: Archaea
Description: bacterial SSU rRNA
Rfam family: Archaeal small subunit ribosomal RNA
Source: RNAcentral